GGAAGUAAAAGCGUAACAAGGUUUCCGUAGGUGAACCUGCGGAAGGAUCAUUAUUGAAUGAAACACUUCUGGCUUUAUGCUGUUGUGCUGGCCCUUUGGGCAAUGUGCACACGGCUCUGGUCACUUGUUUCUUCUGUUCCACCUGUGCACUGCCUGUAGACACGCUGUGUCUAUGAUAUUUGUUAACACACAACAAUGUUAGUUGGCAUGUUAUAUAUAAUAAUAAAAUAUACAACUUUCAACAACGGAUCUCUUGGCUCUC
RNAcentral lists this unclassified non-coding RNA (262 nucleotides) under plant metagenome. Its description in RNAcentral is "partial contains small subunit ribosomal RNA, internal transcribed spacer 1, and 5.8S ribosomal RNA". The stretch from base 1 to 53 matches the Rfam family "Eukaryotic small subunit ribosomal RNA", at positions 1778 to 1831 of the family's 1831-position model. The record is from RNAcentral.